GCCGACGUAGCAGCAGAAAUCCACCCACUGCCACUCCACACGUGGCCUCACUCCUCGUUGUCGUCGUGCCCUAGGCCCCAAAUCAGACACCACCGCCCUAAGCCACCGCCUCCCUGCUCCCUCGUUUUCCGGCCACCCUCCUUCUUCCCUCUGCAAAUAAGACAGCCACCGACCGUCUCCGCCUCUCUCUUUCGAUUUCGACCGCCUCUAUCCACAAAAUCAAACACCACCAACUCACGCAGCCUCCCUCGUUUUCCGGCCACCCUCCUUCUUC
Molecule: long non-coding RNA, 274 nt
Filed under: Salvia miltiorrhiza (redroot sage)
Lineage: Eukaryota; Viridiplantae; Streptophyta; Magnoliopsida; Lamiales; Lamiaceae
Description: long non-coding RNA (SMIL_LNC008544)
Source: RNAcentral